CAGCCGGCCGCGGGAAUACGAGGGGGGCAAGCGUUGUUCGGAAUUAUUGGGCGUAAAGGGCGCGUAGGCGGCGGCCAAAGUCAGGCGUGAAAUUCCUGGGCUCAACCUGGGGGCUGCGCUUGAUACUUGGUUGCUUGAGUGGGGAAGAGGGUCGUGGAAUUCCCAGUGUAGAGGUGAAAUUCGUAGAUAUUGGGAAGAACACCGAUGGCGAAGGCAGCCCCCUGGGCCAAUACUGACGCUCAUGCACGAAAGCGUGGGGAGCAAACAGGAUUAGAUACCCGCGUAGUCCCUGUCUCUUAUA
RNAcentral lists this ribosomal RNA (301 nucleotides) under uncultured bacterium. Its description in RNAcentral is "partial 16S ribosomal RNA". It matches the Rfam family "Bacterial small subunit ribosomal RNA", at positions 509 to 808 of the family's 1533-position model. The record is from RNAcentral.